Long non-coding RNA from Passer montanus (Eurasian tree sparrow), 1143 nucleotides. RefSeq lists it as uncharacterized. The transcript has 2 exons. NCBI's taxonomy places the organism in Eukaryota, Metazoa, Chordata, Aves, Passeriformes, Passeridae. The record is from RefSeq and is a predicted model, not a curated record.
GGGUUUGUUUUGGGUUUUUUUUGUUUUGUUUUUUUUGUUUGUUUUAGGUAUUUUUCAAGGCUUUACACACAGAGGCUUUCCAUCCCCUACCACCCAUACGCUCCCUUCCCUCUGCCUAAUUUCAGAGUAAGGAAGCCACACAUGAUGUUUUCUCUCCAGGACACGGUGAACUGGCUGGCAGGCUGUGUGAUGAGAAGGAAUCUGCCCCGGGACACCGUGAAGAGCUGGGAUCUUCUGCCUGCUGUUUGUCGUGGCAAAGGGGAGAUGCCUGCAUUCAGCUGCUACUGAAACCAGGAAUGCCAGCUCAAAACCCGGAACAUCAGCUUGGGAGGACGCUGCUCUGCCGCCGCUGUGGCUGAAGAGACUCAACCCCACAUCCUUGGCCAGCCAGAUCACGUGCCAAGGGCUGCGGCUGAAGCAGGGUUGGAGCAAAAAUACGAAAGCAAAAACGAUUUGGAGUUGACACAGUGUAUUGUGAAUUACUUCUCAGCUUUUCUACAUCUAAGAGAGCGUGAAAUGAUCGGCUGUACACGGAGCAGUUUAAUAUACAGUUGAUACAGAGCUGCAGAUAAUACACGUUGGAUCUAUAUACACACAGAGCUGAACAUUUCACAGGUACAACUUUUUGCCAUCUCGGUUUGUCCACGAAGCAUUGGCAGAGUAUUUACAGCGAGGCUGCUGCGAGGAAGCCCCGUCCCCGUGGAGCCCCGGCGAGGCUGCCCAGCAGGGGUGUAAACAGAGAGUUCUCUCUUUCUGCAAGGGAGGGAGAGGGGGAACACGGCUGUGCCGGGCAGGAGGGAAAGGAACAGAGAAACCAGGAAAAAAUAAUGUCCAGCUAACCUGGAGACCUCAAAACACUUGAAUUUGCCUUUUAAAAUAUUUUAACUGGAAAGUGUUCUCAAUUAAUUUUCAAUUUGUAAUGCAAUUAUGUUUCAAUGGCAUUUUCAAUUAAUGCUUUCUAUCCAUCUGUGUUUCUAUCCAUCCCCCCUGUGCUUGUGCAAGGACAGGGAGUGCUGAAGCCCUGGGUCAGUGCUGAGGGAGCUUCCCAAGGAAGCAGGGGAUGCUCAGGGGCCUGUGCUGGCUCCCAGGCCCACUCCUUGCCCUUGGCAAACCAAAGCCAACCCUGCUUUCAGCUGAUCACUC